CGGGGCGUAGCGCAGUCUGGUAGCGCAUCUGGUUUGGGACCAGAGGGUCGUAGGUUCGAAUCCUACCGUCCCGA
Molecule: transfer RNA, 74 nt
Filed under: Paracandidimonas soli
Lineage: Bacteria; Pseudomonadati; Pseudomonadota; Betaproteobacteria; Burkholderiales; Alcaligenaceae
Rfam family: tRNA
About the family: Transfer RNA (tRNA) molecules are approximately 80 nucleotides in length. Their secondary structure includes four short double-helical elements and three loops (D, anti-codon, and T loops).
Source: Rfam by way of RNAcentral